Molecule: ribosomal RNA, 879 nt
Filed under: uncultured bacterium
Lineage: Bacteria
Description: bacterial SSU rRNA
Rfam family: Bacterial small subunit ribosomal RNA
Source: RNAcentral
AGAGUUUGAUCAUGGCUCAGGAUGAACGCUGGCGGCGUGCCUAACACAUGCAAGUCGAGCGAUUCUCUUCGGAGAAGAGCGGCGGACGGGUGAGUAACGCGUGGGUAACCUGCCCUGUACACACGGAUAACAUACCGAAAGGUAUGCUAAUACGAGAUAAUAUGCUUUUAUCGCAUGGUAGAAGUAUCAAAGCUCCGGCGGUACAGGAUGGACCCGCGUCUGAUUAGCUAGUUGGUAAGGUAACGGCUUACCAAGGCGACGAUCAGUAGCCGACCUGAGAGGGUGAUCGGCCACAUUGGAACUGAGACACGGUCCAAACUCCUACGGGAGGCAGCAGUGGGGAAUAUUGCACAAUGGGCGAAAGCCUGAUGCAGCAACGCCGCGUGAGCGAUGAAGGCCUUCGGGUCGUAAAGCUCUGUCCUCAAGGAAGAUAAUGACGGUACUUGAGGAGGAAGCCCCGGCUAACUACGUGCCAGCAGCCGCGGUAAUACGUAGGGGGCUAGCGUUAUCCGGAAUUACUGGGCGUAGAGGGUGCGUAGGUGGUUUCUUAAGUCAGAGGUGAAAGGCUACGGCUCAACCGUAGUAAGCCUUUGAAACUGGGAAACUUGAGUGCAGGAGAGGAGAGUGGAAUUCCUAGUGUAGCGGUGAAAUGCGUAGAUAUUAGGAGGAACACCAGUUGCGAAGGCGGCUCUCUGGACUGUAACUGACACUGAGGCACGAAAGCGUGGGGAGCAAACAGGAUUAGAUACCCUGGUAGUCCACGCCGUAAACGAUGAGUACUAGCUGUCGGAGGUUACCUCCUUCGGUGGCGCAGCUAACGCAUUAAGUACUCCGCCUGGGAAGUACGCUCGCAAGAGUGAAACUCAAAGGAAUUGACGG